UUUCAUGAUUCUGGCUGGUCAAAUCAAGGCUAAGUUCAGAUUUCGCUAGGUUGCAUAGCAUGACAAUAGCAGCAAAACGCGAGCCUGAAACAUCGUCCUCCGUUACAAAUCCAUGGUAUCCAUGAAUUUCAAUCGUCCCUUUCACGCCACGUGAAACGUUGCUUCUUUCCUGCUCCGCGUUUUCUAGUGCUUGCCGUUACCUGGCACGAGGAACUCCCCUCACAUUGAGCCCAGCCUGACCCACAUGGGUUAUUGGAACAUUCACAUACACCGAUGUCGGGGAGCAAUCCUUUACAAUUAGGGACCAAAGUCCCUGUCUUAAGUUCU
Molecule: long non-coding RNA, 327 nt
Filed under: Volvox carteri
Lineage: Eukaryota; Viridiplantae; Chlorophyta; Chlorophyceae; Chlamydomonadales; Volvocaceae
Description: long non-coding RNA (VCAR_LNC001114)
Source: RNAcentral